GAACGAAUCUUCUUCGGAAGAUGAGUGGCGAACGGGUGAGUAAUACAUAGGUAACCUGCCCCUGUGCGGGGGAUAACAGGAGGAAACUCCUGCUAAUACCGCAUAGCCAUGAGCACCGCAUGGAGCUCAUGCCAAAUAUCCUUUCGGGGAUAGCGCAGGGAUGGACCUAUGGCGCAUUAGCUAGUUGGCGGGGCAACGGCCCACCAAGGCAACGAUGCGUAGCCGGCCUGAGAGGGCGGACGGCCACAUUGGGACUGAGACACGGCCCAGACUCCUACGGGAGGCAGCAGUAGGGAAUUUUCGGCAAUGGGGGAAACCCUGACCGAGCAACGCCGCGUGAGCGAAGAAGGCCUUCGGGUCGUAAAGCUCUGUUGUAAAGGAAGAACGGCGCAUACAGGAAAUGGUAUGCGAGUGACGGUACUUUACCAGAAAGCCACGGCUAACUACGUGCCAGCAGCCGCGGUAAUACGUAGGUGGCGAGCGUUAUCCGGAAUCAUUGGGCGUAAAGAGGGAGCAGGCGGCCGCAAGGGUCUGUGGUGAAAGACCGAAGCUAAACUUCGGUAAGCCAUGGAAACCGGGCGGCUAGAGUGCGGAAGAGGAUCGUGGAAUUCCAUGUGUAGCGGUGAAAUGCGUAGAUAUAUGGAGGAACACCAGUGGCGAAGGCGACGGUCUGGGCCGCAACUGACGCUCAUUCCCGAAAGCGUGGGGAGCAAAUAGGAUUAGAUACCCUAGUAGUCCACGCCGUAAACGAUGGUCACUAAGUGUCGGGGGUCAAACCCCGGUGCUGCAGUCAACGCAAUAAGUGACCCGCCUGAGUAGUACGUUCGCAAGAAUGAAACUCAAAGGAAUUGACGGGG
This 857-nucleotide non-coding RNA is filed under the name Catenibacterium sp. CAG:290. RNAcentral's name for it is "Bacterial small subunit ribosomal RNA". It matches the Rfam family "Bacterial small subunit ribosomal RNA", at positions 64 to 918 of the family's 1533-position model. Lineage: Bacteria; Bacillati; Bacillota; Erysipelotrichia; Erysipelotrichales; Coprobacillaceae. The record is from Rfam by way of RNAcentral.